RNAcentral lists this small RNA (135 nucleotides) under uncultured Eubacterium sp. Its description in RNAcentral is "Clostridiales-1 RNA". It matches the Rfam family "Clostridiales-1 RNA", at positions 22 to 159 of the family's 166-position model. The record is from RNAcentral. Lineage: Bacteria; Bacillati; Bacillota; Clostridia; Eubacteriales; Eubacteriaceae.
AGAUGCACUUCCUGCUUGCAGGAAAAGUGCUGCUUUCUUUAGAGACACAAACCGAAAUGAGCAUGGAGUACGAUAGUACGGAAUGCGAAUUUUGGUGUCAAAUUGCGAAAGUGCGAAGCACGGAGCAAUUUGUAG